Long non-coding RNA from Sebastes umbrosus (honeycomb rockfish), 1783 nucleotides. RefSeq lists it as uncharacterized. The transcript is spliced from 3 exons. NCBI's taxonomy places the organism in Eukaryota, Metazoa, Chordata, Actinopteri, Perciformes, Sebastidae. The record is from RefSeq and is a predicted model, not a curated record.
GUGAACUCUGGCGAAUGGAGCCCAAAAAAUUAAAUCGUGCGAGUAAUGUCACUCUAUUAUAUAGAGAGCGUGAUUUUGGUAACAGCGUCGAUUUUGACCAGUAAAAUAGGUUUGAGGCGCACAAAACUUUGAAUAAAUAGAGCCAGGAUGAGCGUUUUUUUCAAACAAGCGGUGCUUCCCUUUGCCUGUUUGCUGACGCAUGAAGCAGGUUAGGACGUCUUCUUUGGGAAAAAAUUAAACAAUCUGAUGUUCGCUCGCUUGUUCACAUCGCGUCCAGUUAGGAAGAGGUGUCGGCUGUUUCAGAAGCUUUCCCAAUGAUGGUAGGUAUAAAAUUCUGAGAACUUAACAUUAAAGUGAUCUUAAUAUUUCAAAGAACCUGGUUCUUGCAAUUUACGACGUAGCAAUAUCAGCCUUCAAAAACCCAUGUCAGAUGAGGGAUAGCCGAUGUCCGUCUGUUUGGAGAGAGCGAUGUAAGGGAGGUCAUCGGCACUGGCACAGGGGAAAAGACGAAGAUAGAAUGGGGGAGAUGAACGAGGCCGAGAGAUCAAGCCGAGAGAGAGCAAGCCGGAAAGAGAGAGAGAUAUGCAGAGAGAUGUGGGCGCUUUGCCGUGGUUCAGCGAGUAUUGAUCUGGUGUCAGGUGCUAGAAGAUGGAUCAUGAACCCUCCUUCUGUCUUCUCCUCCUCCACCUUCCCCCCAUGUCUGGUCCUCCUCCCUCCUCCUUCAUUCACCCAUUCAUUUCAGUGCUCUUUACCCAGGCCUGGCUGUCAGCAGAGCUCGAGGAGAUCACGCCACGGCCAUCCAUCUCUCCCAUGUCUCCGGGGGCUCCUGUCCCACCCCGCCGGCUCCGUCCUGGCCUCGUCUCUGCCUCGUUUCGUCAUGUGUUUCCAUGACAAAUGCAAAACACUGCACACACACACACACAUUGAAAUGAAAGAAGACUAUAAAAAUCCGGCCCUUCAUUGUGUGGGUGUGUGAAAAACAGAAUAAAGCGAUAUGUCACUCUGUAGUUGCCAUGGUAACCAUAAGCAUCUAGAAUCAGAAAUGUUUCCAUUUCUUGUCCGCAACACUGCCUCAUCGUGGAUAAAUUACCAUCUACCUCUCUGUGUUUCUCUCUCUGUUUCUCUCUCACACCGCCUCGUGUUCAUCAUGCUCUGCCACUUACAGUAAAGGACUAAUCACUCACUUAUAUCCUCCCAUCUUCUCCCUGUCCCUCUCUCCCCCGCCUCAUUUUCUCAGCACACAGUAUGACCCCGGUCGUGCGGCCGGGGCUUGCCCCAAUUAUCGACCGGCCGCAGGACUGGGAAUCUCCUCAGAGGAUGCCGACUGGCUGCAGCACCGCCCUGCUGCACUCACACGGUUAAGGCCACGACUGAAAGAGACAGAUGGGCCUGCAGUAAAAGAGAAGGUUUGCAGGCUCGCAGUGGCAGCAGCAGGAGGAAUAAAACACUUUUAUGGACCGGUGACACAACACGGUGUGACAUGAGACCCCCUUUGUUGCAUUCAUAUCCUCAGCACAAUUUAAUAAAAUGCAUGUGUCAAGUGUGUGCUUGACUCAGCUAAUUCAUUCACCUCAUUCUUCAGCUUGUGUAGUUCAGUGUGUGUAGUUUCCCUUAGCUUCCUAAGCACCUGGUUGGUGGCAGACACACAAUAUGCCACAUUGGUGUCAUAUAGAAGUUGUUAUGGAAACUGAUGGUAGUACGUAAAUGUCUGCAAACAUAAAUGCCUCAGAUCAGAUGAGGUGCAUCAGAGCAGCUGCAUCCUGCUUAAUGCUAAUUUGGUAAA